RNAcentral lists this unclassified non-coding RNA (365 nucleotides) under soil metagenome. RNAcentral describes it as "partial contains 5.8S ribosomal RNA, internal transcribed spacer 2, and large subunit ribosomal RNA". The stretch from base 1 to 120 matches the Rfam family "5.8S ribosomal RNA", at positions 35 to 154 of the family's 154-position model. The record is from RNAcentral.
GAUGAAGAACGCAGUGAAAUGCGAUAAGUAAUGUGAAUUGCAGAAUUCAGUGAAUCAUCGAAUCUUUGAACGCACAUUGCGCCCGCCAGCAUUCUGGCGGGCAUGCCUGUUCGAGCGUCAUUUCAACCCUCGCAGCCCAUCUGGGCAGCGGUGUUGGGGACCGGCACCACCGGCGAAGCCCUUAGGGACCCAGCCGGCGCCGCCCCCGAAAUACAGUGGCGGUCUCGCUGCAGCCUCCCUUGCGUAGUAGCACACCUCGCACCGGAGCGCAGCGCGGCCACGCCGUAAAACCCCCGACUUUCUGAGUUUGACCUCGAAUCAGGUAGGAAUACCCGCUGAACUUAAGCAUAUCAAUAAGCGGAGGA